RNAcentral lists this ribosomal RNA (906 nucleotides) under Bacillus sp. (in: firmicutes). RNAcentral's name for it is "bacterial SSU rRNA". It matches the Rfam family "Bacterial small subunit ribosomal RNA", at positions 1 to 891 of the family's 1533-position model. The record is from RNAcentral. Lineage: Bacteria; Bacillati; Bacillota; Bacilli; Caryophanales; Bacillaceae.
AGCCUUUUUAGUUUGUUCCUGCUCAGGACGAACGCCGGCGGCGUGCCUAAUACAUGCAAGUCGAGCGGACAGAUGGGAGCUUGCUCCCUGAUGUUAGCGGCGGACGGGUGAGUAACACGUGGGUAACCUGCCUGUAAGACUGGGAUAACUCCGGGAAACCGGGGCUAAUACCGGAUGCUUGUUUGAACCGCAUGGUUCAAACAUAAAAGGUGGCUUCGGCUACCACUUACAGAUGGACCCGCGGCGCAUUAGCUAGUUGGUGAGGUAAUGGCUCACCAAGGCGACGAUGCGUAGCCGACCUGAGAGGGUGAUCGGCCACACUGGGACUGAGACACGGCCCAGACUCCUACGGGAGGCAGCAGUAGGGAAUCUUCCGCAAUGGACGAAAGUCUGACGGAGCAACGCCGCGUGAGUGAUGAAGGUUUUCGGAUCGUAAAGCUCUGUUGUUAGGGAAGAACAAGUACCGUUCGAAUAGGGCGGUACCUUGACGGUACCUAACCAGAAAGCCACGGCUAACUACGUGCCAGCAGCCGCGGUAAUACGUAGGUGGCAAGCGUUGUCCGGAAUUAUUGGGCGUAAAGGGCUCGCAGGCGGUUUCUUAAGUCUGAUGUGAAAGCCCCCGGCUCAACCGGGGAGGGUCAUUGGAAACUGGGGAACUUGAGUGCAGAAGAGGAGAGUGGAAUUCCACGUGUAGCGGUGAAAUGCGUAGAGAUGUGGAGGAACACCAGUGGCGAAGGCGACUCUCUGGUCUGUAACUGACGCUGAGGAGCGAAAGCGUGGGGAGCGAACAGGAUUAGAUACCCUGGUAGUCCACGCCGUAAACGAUGAGUGCUAAGUGUUAGGGGGUUUCCGCCCCUUAGUGCUGCAGCUAACGCAUUAAGCAUUCCGCCUGGGGUACGGCCGCCC